GCUCAUCCCUGGACAGGUGGUGAAAACUACUAAUUUAGAGUACGGUAGGGGAAGAGGGAAUUUCGGGUGGAGCGAUGAAAUGCGUAUAGAUCAGAAAGAACCCCAACGGCGGAAGCACUCUGCUGGGCCUACACUGACUCUGAUAGACAAAAGCUAGGGGAGCGAAUGGGAUUAUAGACCCCAAUACUCCUACCCAUAAAAUAAGGAUACUAACUGGCUGUGCGUAUCUACCCGUGCCACGCUGUACCUAACGCGUUAAGUAUCCCGCCUGGGGAGUACGUUCCCAAGAAUGAAACUCUUAGGAAUUGACUGGGGCCCCCACAAGCGGUGGAGCAUGUGGUUUAAUUCCAUGCAAAACCAAAAACCUUACCAGGGUUUGACCUGCACAAAUCCUCUUGAAAGAGAUGAGUGUCUUCUGCAUUGCGACGCUGGUGGUGCAUGGCUGUCUCCAGCUCGUGCCUGGAGGUGUUGGGUUUAGUCCCACAACGAGCGUCACCCUCUUGUUUAGAUGCCUGCGCCUAGUUUGGAACUCUGAGCAGACUGCCUGUGAUAAGCCGGAGAAAGGUGAGGAUGACGUCCUGUCUUCAUGCCCCUUAUGCCCUGUGCUACACACGUGCUACGAUGGAGCGGACUAAC
RNAcentral lists this ribosomal RNA (636 nucleotides) under uncultured bacterium. RNAcentral describes it as "bacterial SSU rRNA". It matches the Rfam family "Bacterial small subunit ribosomal RNA", at positions 607 to 1244 of the family's 1533-position model. The record is from RNAcentral.